RNAcentral lists this ribosomal RNA (454 nucleotides) under uncultured bacterium. RNAcentral's name for it is "partial 16S ribosomal RNA". It matches the Rfam family "Bacterial small subunit ribosomal RNA", at positions 28 to 507 of the family's 1533-position model. The record is from RNAcentral.
GAUGAACGCUGACAGAAUGCUUAACACAUGCAAGUCUACUUGAACUUCGGUUUGGGUGGCGGACGGGUGAGUAACGCGUAAAGAACUUGCCUCACAGAUAGGGACAACAUUUGGAAACGAAUGCUAAUACCUGAUAUUAUGAUUUUAGGGCAUCCUAGAAUUAUGAAAGCUAUAUGCACUGUGAGAGAGCCUUGCGUCCCAUUAGCUAGUUGGAGAGGUAACGGCUCACCAAGGCGAUGAUGGGUAGCCGGCCUGAGAGGGUGAUCGGCCACAAGGGGACUGAGACACGGCCCUUACUCCUACGGGAGGCAGCAGUGGGGAAUAUUGGACAAUGGACCAAGAGUCUGAUCCAGCAAUUCUGUGUGCACGAUGAAGUUUUUCGGAAUGUAAAGUGCUUUCAGUUGGGAAGAAAAAAAUGACGGUACCAACAGAAGAAGUGACGGCUAAAUACGUG